GACGAACGCUGGCGGCGUGCUUAACACAUGCAAGUCGAGCGGUAAGGCCCUUUCGGGGGUACGACGAGCGGCGAACGGGUGAGUAACACGUGGGUGACCUGCCCUCAGCUCUGGGAUAAGCCCGGGAAACUGGGUCUAAUACCGGAUAUGACUCCACGGUGCAUGUCGUGGGGUGGAAAGCCUUGUGCGGCUGAGGAUGGGCCCGCGGCCUAUCAGCUUGUUGGUGGGGUGAUGGCCACCAAGGCGACGACGGGUAGCCGGCCUGAGAGGGCGACCGGCCACACUGGGAC
Molecule: ribosomal RNA, 290 nt
Filed under: uncultured bacterium
Lineage: Bacteria
Description: partial 16S ribosomal RNA
Rfam family: Bacterial small subunit ribosomal RNA
Source: RNAcentral